This is a long non-coding RNA of Vigna unguiculata (cowpea), 771 nucleotides long. RefSeq lists it as uncharacterized. NCBI's taxonomy places the organism in Eukaryota, Viridiplantae, Streptophyta, Magnoliopsida, Fabales, Fabaceae. The record is from RefSeq and is a predicted model, not a curated record.
CCAGAAGUUCCACACUGUCAAGUUAAUAAGAAUUUAAAACUAACAAUAAUAUAAGUAGCCGCGGAGGUUAAGUACGGCCAUGUUAAGUACUAUGGAGAACUGGGGAAACAGUAGCAGCCGCGCAUUCUUUUGUCUGUGAACAGUGCUAAUUGGAGUGAAAUUGAUGUAUUUAAACCUACAUUUUUAUUCUCUAUGAGGUAGGUUUUUCCUAGUGUUUAUUUUGCAGCCAUGGCAAAGAAAGACCACCGCUGUGACAAAUUCUUUGUAACCGAAAAGUCCUUCAAUAACUGCAAAGACGGAUCACAGAAUUUCUGCAAGACCUCGAUUAGCGCCCCAAGAGUCGUAAAUUCCUUCAAUAAUAAGGGAUCAGGUUACCAAAACUUAAGGGGAUUGAAGAUUCAUUGCGAUGACAAAUCUGUUUUGCACUAUUUCCGAGCCCUUGUCGGCAGUGGGAUAUCUAGACUUUUCAACUACAACGGAAACGAAUCUCAGGAGUUCCCUGGCUUCACCUUCUUACAGUAUCUGCGUGACUUAACCCGUGUGGGAUGAGAGCUGAAAUACGGAACUAGGGAAAUGUAGUCAUGGAGGCAUAAUACUACCCUAAGGAUUUUCCCCAUUCUCAGUUUAUUUGUUCAAGACUGUCUUUGUUUUAUAUCCUCGUUCAACUUUCAGUUUAAGGAUAUAUUUUCGAGGGUGUGACUUUGUUUUAUACACACAUUGAACUUUCACUCUUGAUUAUUACAACAAAUGUUAACUAUACUUUAUACUUUA